AUUCGGCUACGGCUGCGCCCCCCCCCCUCCUCCCCCUCCUUCCUUGUUUUGCUUUUCUUUGACUCCCCGUCGUUGGCAUCCCCCGCACGGCAGCGCAUUCACCGACAGAGUCACGCCUACGCGUUGGUGUACGUCUCCGGCACUGCACUUUACGUGAAACUGCAUCACCAGCCUCUCGCUCUCUCGCGCGCGCGUGCCGCACCCUUCGUUGACAUUGCAGGGCUCGUGUGGUGCAUAACCCCUUCCCCGCUUCUUCUCUUGUGCCUCCUGCGCUGCUCGCUCCUGCGCCUCACCGUGGAGCAUCUUUCCAGAGCCGCGCGGCCGCUACAGUCUGCGUCGAGGGCCCAUACGCCGCGCACCUAAGCAAGCGGCGUGCGCACAUCCGGAGCGGGCGAAGCGCUACGUCCGGGCGACCCGGGUAGAGCCAGAGAGCUUUUUCAGCGUGUAUCGCGCGACGGCUGAGGUGCCCGCACGCUCCUCCCCCCUCGCCCACCCAUCGCCUCCGCUUGCACAGCGCAAAGGAAAGCCGCCGUCAUGAUCCCUGGCGGCUCCGUGGACUGCGCCCACACCCUCGAGGUGGCCGAGGACCACUACGGCAGGGGCGACCGCUCGACGGCGCGCGAGCUGCUGCAGUCGAUCGUCACGACAGACGUUGCAGUGGAUGACGGAGACUCGAUCCGUGCCAAGGAGCAGGCGGUGUACCGGCUGGCGGAGCUGCUGACGGUAACCAAGGACGGCGAGGCCGCCAUCCAGCUGCUCUCGGAUGUGCGGCCGUUCUUCCAGGUGCUGCCGAAGGCGAAGACGACGAAGAUGGUGCGCAAACUCUUCGAGCACAUUGUGCAGUGCGGCGUGCCGCUGAAGCAGCAGGAAGAGGUGUGUCUCGAGACCGUACACUGGGCGCGCAAGGAGCGUCGCACCUUUCUGCGCCACCGCCUGCAGCUCCGCUACGUGGAGAUUCUGUUCGCCGAGAACCGCAAGAGCGACGCUCUGGCGUCGCUGAGCGCGCUGCUCAAGGAGGUGCGCCGCUUGGACGACCGUACGCUGCUGCUCGACAUCUACCUCCUGGAGAGCAAGCUAUACUACGCCGUCAUGGAUAUCCAGAAGGCCAGGGCGGCACUCGUCUCGGCGCGCACGACGGCGAACAGCAUCUACUGCCCGCCUCUCUCGCAGGCGGAGAUCGACCUCCAGUCCGGUGUGCUGCACGCGGAGGAGAAAGAUAACAAGACCGCGUACUCUUACCUAUACGAAGCCUUUGAGGGGUUCCAUCAGCUCGGCGACCAGGCACGCCAGGCGCGCCGUUCGCUUCGCUACAUGAUCCUGUCGAAGAUCUCCACGGACAGCCCCGACGAGCUUGCGACGCUGCUCUCGUCCAAGAGCGUGCUGGAGUAUAAGGGCACCGACAUGGAUGCGCUGCGCGGCAUCGCAGACGCCUACAACAAGCAGGACACGCAUCUCUUCAACAGUAUCCUGUCCAAGUGCCGCGCCGAGGCGGAGGAGUCCGGCGCCGGCGGCAGCAACGACACGAACCUCCUCGCCGACGAGGUGGUGCGUCGGCAGGUCAACGACAUGUACAACACGCUGCUGGAGCGGCACCUGUUGAAGGUGGUGUCGCCGUACAACCGCGUGCAGAUCGCCUACGUGAGCAACCUUCUGAGGCUGGACGCCAUGGUGGUGGAGCAGAAGCUUUCUCAGCUCAUUCUCGAUCGCAAGCUGCGCGGCAUCGUCGAUCAGCAGCAUCGCUGUCUUAUCGUCUUCGACGACGAGGCCGCUGAGGCGUCCAAGCCAGGAAAGGACGGCAGCGAGGCGUUCUACGACAACGCCGCUGACGCCGCCGCCGCGGCGGACCAGGCGCCGACGACACUCUACCAGGACGCGCUCACGGCGCUGGAGUGCUACAACACGCUCGUCACGGCGCUCUUCGACAAGGUCAAUGGCAAGUUCGAUGCGCUCGUCGAGGAGAACAUCGCCAAGCACAAGGGCGCGAAGGCGAAGGAGGAGGGUGAGGAGGCGAACCGGAAGAACAAGCGGGGCGGCAUCGGCAGCGUCAAGGACGCCGUCGCCGACCGAGGUGGAAAGUCUGACAGUGGCAACAAGCAGAAGAGGCCUGGCGACAAGCGCAAGUGACCCGAGGCGCGAUGUGCAGAAUGUGCUCCUUCUCUUCCGACACCCCUGCCUUGUGGCAGCAAGGAGCGAGGCGACGGUGAGGGUUUGUAGCGAGGUCGGGGGCGGUGCUGGCGUCUUCUUCUACAUGUGCGUACACACCCACGCGUGCAAACACACACACACACACACAUAGGCGCGACCAUCCAAGACGGAUUGAGACCCGUGACCGCGCCGAGCACAACGGCACACACCGCCACCGACACAGGGGAAUACAGCGCAUAUAAGAAAUACGGAGGAGGAGAGAAAGAUGCGUACACACACGCAUACCUUUAAGGGGCCGGCGCGUCGGCGCGUCUUCCCUCCCUCCUUCGCUGUGUGUGUGUGUGUGUGUGUGUGCGUGCAUGGAUGUGCCCGUGGGUGUUGUGGCCUGUGAUGUGUAAGUGUGUGCGCUCUUUAUGUGUGCGUGGUUGCAGGAUGCUGUGCGUGUGUGCGUGUGCGGCGCAGAGAGCCUGUGGGGCCCUCUUCUUUUCCCUUUCCUUCCUUCCUUGUUAUCUUGCCGCCAGCCAUGGGCAGGUGUGCGGGAGGUGGUGGCGGGGCAGUGAUGGUGGCUGUGAUAGAUGAUGUAAUGUAAGGGCAAGGCGUGUGCUGGCAGGUGGGAACGUGUGGGGAGACCAGUGAGGGGCAAUGCUGCUCAGGUCGCUCACGACGCAUGCGUGUGUCUGUGUUAAUCCAUCACCCUCCUUCCCCGAGGGUGGCGAUGGUGGUGGUGGCUGGAGGGCCGGGGUGGCUCCACUGCUCGGCACACGCGUCAGCACACUGACGAUAUUGCCGCUGCUCACUCCCAUCAAGGCGUCUAUUUUACCCGCAUCACGGACUGCACGCAUUACGCGAGGUCGCGGAUCUGAGAGACGUUGCCGCCUCCGCCCGCGCUGCAGCCAUUCUCCGCCCCGCCCUUCUUUCUCUGCGCUUGCACAUCGGCCUAUCGUUGUUGUUGUGCGCAGGCUUUCGGGCUCUGCGUGCUUCUUCUACAUAUAU
This 3138-nucleotide unclassified non-coding RNA is filed under the name Leishmania donovani. RNAcentral's name for it is "gene:LdHU3.02.0450(CDS-product:proteasome_regulat ory_non-ATPase_subunit_6_putative)". Lineage: Eukaryota; Euglenozoa; Kinetoplastea; Trypanosomatida; Trypanosomatidae. The record is from RNAcentral.